AGAAGUGAUGAUGUUUUACCAUCUUUCGGGGCAGACCCAGCUGGUGACAACAUAAAUUUACUGAACUUCU
Branchiostoma floridae (Florida lancelet) is the source of this 70-nucleotide non-coding RNA. NCBI's taxonomy places the organism in Eukaryota, Metazoa, Chordata, Leptocardii, Amphioxiformes, Branchiostomatidae. The record is from Rfam.